RNAcentral lists this ribosomal RNA (162 nucleotides) under uncultured Rhodopseudomonas sp. Its description in RNAcentral is "partial 16S ribosomal RNA". It matches the Rfam family "Bacterial small subunit ribosomal RNA", at positions 340 to 522 of the family's 1533-position model. The record is from RNAcentral. Lineage: Bacteria; Pseudomonadati; Pseudomonadota; Alphaproteobacteria; Hyphomicrobiales; Nitrobacteraceae.
UACGGGAGGCAGCAGUGGGGAUAUUGCACAAUGGAGGAAACUCUGAUCCAGCAAUGCCGCGUGAGUGAAGAAGGCCCUAGGGUUGUAAAGCUCUUUCACGGUGAAGAUAAUGACGGUACCCGAAAAGAAGCCCCGGCUAACUUCGUGCCAGCAGCCGCGGUA